This 46-nucleotide non-coding RNA is filed under the name Schistosoma margrebowiei. Lineage: Eukaryota; Metazoa; Platyhelminthes; Trematoda; Strigeidida; Schistosomatidae. The record is from RNAcentral.
GCACUACCAAAGAGUCCCAAAAUAAGACGAAACGGCCGUCCAGUGC